Molecule: ribosomal RNA, 481 nt
Filed under: uncultured bacterium
Lineage: Bacteria
Description: bacterial SSU rRNA
Rfam family: Bacterial small subunit ribosomal RNA
Source: RNAcentral
AAGCAUGCAAGUCGAACGGCAAGAGGUAGCAAUACCUCCUAGAGUGGCGGACUGGUGAGUAACACGUGGGUGACAUACCCUUCAGAUGGGGAUAGCUAUUAGAAAUAGUAGAUAAUACCGAAUACGAGCACAGGGGUUAGAGAUCUGUGAGGAAAGGAGCUAAGGCUCCGCUGAAGGAAUGGCCUGCGGCCCAUUAGCUAGUUGGUGAGGUAAGAGCCCACCAAGGCGAUGAUGGGUAUCCCGGCCUUAGAGGGUGAACGGACACAUUGGGACUGAGAUACGGCCCAGACUCCUACGGGAGGCAGCAGCUAAGAAUAUUCCGCAAUGGACGAAAGUCUGACGGAGCGACGCCGCGUUGGAUGAAGAAGGCCGGAAGGUUGUAAAAAUCCUUUUGAAACUGAAGAAUAAGCGUUGUAGGGAAUGACAGCGUGGUGACAGUAGGCUUUGAAUAAGCAACGGCUAAUUACGUGCCAGCCGCCGC